AGCAGCCGCGGUAAUUCCAGCUCCAAUAGCGUAUAUUAAAGUUGUUGCAGUUAAAAAGCUCGUAGUUGAAUUUCGGAGUUCUACCGUCGGUCGGGCUACCAAGUCUGUACUGGUGUGUAGAAUUCCUACCUUCUGGGGAACUAUCAUGUUAUUAAUUUAGCGUGGUGGGAAACCAGGACUUUUACCUUGAAAAAUUAGAGUGUUCAAAGCAGGCUUAUGUCUGAAUACAUUAGUAUGGAAUAAUAGAAUAGGACGGUGGUCCUGUUUUGUUGGUUUCUGAAUCACCGUAAUGAUUAAUAGGGAUAGUUGGGGGCAUUAGUAUUCAAUUGUCAGAGGUGAAAUUCUUGGAUUUAUUGAAGACUAACUUCUGCGAAAGCAUUUGCCAAGGAUGUUUUCAUUAAUCAAGAACGAAAGUUAGGGGAUCGAAGACGAUCAGAUAC
This 440-nucleotide unclassified non-coding RNA is filed under the name uncultured Glomus. Its description in RNAcentral is "SSU rRNA". It matches the Rfam family "Eukaryotic small subunit ribosomal RNA", at positions 569 to 1015 of the family's 1831-position model. The record is from RNAcentral. Lineage: Eukaryota; Fungi; Glomeromycota; Glomeromycetes; Glomerales; Glomeraceae.